UCGAACGAGCGAGAGGGAGCUUGCUUUCUCGAGCGAGUGGCGAACGGGUGAGUAACGCGUGAGGAACCUGCCUCAAAGAGGGGGACAACAGUUGGAAACGACUGCUAAUACCGCAUAAGCCCACGACCCGGCAUCGGGUAGAGGGAAAAGGAGCAAUCCGCUUUGAGAUGGCCUCGCGUCCGAUUAGCUAGUUGGUGAGGUAACGGCCCACCAAGGCGACGAUCGGUAGCCGGACUGAGAGGUUGAACGGCCACAUUGGGACUGAGACACGGCCCAGACUCCUACGGGAGGCAGCAGUGGGGAAUAUUGCACAAUGGGGGAAACCCUGAUGCAGCGACGCCGCGUGGAGGAAGAAGGUCUUCGGAUUGUAAACUCCUGUUGUUGAGGAAGAUAAUGACGGUACUCAACAAGGAAGUGACGGCUAACUACGUGCCAGCAGCCGCGGUAAAACGUAGGUCACAAGCGUUGUCCGGAAUUACUGGGUGUAAAGGGAGCGCAGGCGGGAAGACAAGUUGGAAGUGAAAUCCAUGGGCUCAACCCAUGAACUGCUUUCAAAACUGUUUUUCUUGAGUAGUGCAGAGGUAGGCGGAAUUCCCGGUGUAGCGGUGGAAUGCGUAGAUAUCGGGAGGAACACCAGUGGCGAAGGCGGCCUACUGGGCACC
RNAcentral lists this ribosomal RNA (662 nucleotides) under uncultured bacterium. RNAcentral's name for it is "bacterial SSU rRNA". It matches the Rfam family "Bacterial small subunit ribosomal RNA", at positions 62 to 737 of the family's 1533-position model. The record is from RNAcentral.